This 69-nucleotide transfer RNA is filed under the name Pachygrapsus fakaravensis. RNAcentral describes it as "tRNA-Trp". The record is from RNAcentral. Lineage: Eukaryota; Metazoa; Arthropoda; Malacostraca; Decapoda; Grapsidae.
AGAAUUUUAAGUUAUUUAAACUGGAAGCCUUCAAAGCUUUUUAAAAAAGUAUUAAUCUUUUAAAUUCUA